ACAGGUAUCAAACCCUUUUGACCCCAAGUAGUGUUUGUUUCAAAUUUUCUUCUUCAAAACCUCACCUAGAUGUCAGCAAACUGUUGCUCCAGUUCAGGUCAUGCCCUGUCUCUCACCUGCAAAAACCUUUUAAAACUGUCUGCUUGGAAGAGCUCUUGAGGAGAGGAUAGAUUUGCACUGGUGCAAGAACUUCAACACUUUUGUUAUGCACUACAGAGAGGAGAAGAUUAAGACAGUCCUUAGUUUGAUUUCUUGCUACCUGGGAAAACUUGAACAGAAGAAGAUGUGUCGGUGAUCCCCUGAAAAUGUGGAUAGGGUUGACUUGUCCUUCAGCAGGAGAUCAAGCCUUUUGGCAUAGAGGAACCACAUCGGGGGAGAGGUGCAACACACUCAUUUAAUAUGAACCUCCAUGCAGGUGCAAGUACUGUCGAUAAAUGUUGGUUGCACUUUUUAUUUGUAAUAAAACUGAU
This is a non-coding RNA of Lepisosteus oculatus (spotted gar), 470 nucleotides long. Lineage: Eukaryota; Metazoa; Chordata; Actinopteri; Semionotiformes; Lepisosteidae. The record is from RefSeq and is a predicted model, not a curated record.